GGACAAUGGCCCGGCCCCUCUAAAGAAGAAAAUACAGACAACAUUCAAUACAACUUACCAAUUGAAACAUUUGACUGCCCAGCGUCCACCAUCAGACACAGGACGCGGCACAGAAAAAUCACCGAAACCGCUGUGCUGCAUGACCAGUCAGAGGGAGCCGUUUGGCCUGCAGCACAUUAAGUGACCACAGUCUACUUGAUUUUUAAUAGGCUGAAGAUACAGGAGGAGUGAGCUCUGUGGGGGAGGCCACUGGAGCAGUGCUUUGGUGUGCAAAAUGAGGUGCCUCCCUGGGUUCCACCUACCUGUCAGAAGAGAGCAGUUGAACAGGCCUCUCAGAAAACCCUACCUUGAAAUGGCAGUAAAUCAUCUGGUGCUUUGCCUGGCAAAGUUGUGCUCUCUGCCAGGAGGCCGAAUGUGGUAAUUGCUUGUGUUUCUUGCUCUGAGUGAUAAAUAAAUAACAGAU
This is a long non-coding RNA of Megalops cyprinoides (Indo-Pacific tarpon), 463 nucleotides long. RefSeq lists it as uncharacterized. Lineage: Eukaryota; Metazoa; Chordata; Actinopteri; Elopiformes; Megalopidae. The transcript has 3 exons. The record is from RefSeq and is a predicted model, not a curated record.